RNAcentral lists this ribosomal RNA (440 nucleotides) under uncultured bacterium. RNAcentral describes it as "partial 16S ribosomal RNA". It matches the Rfam family "Bacterial small subunit ribosomal RNA", at positions 338 to 795 of the family's 1533-position model. The record is from RNAcentral.
CCUACGGGAGGCAGCAGUGGGGAAUAUUGCACAAUGGGGGAAACCCUGAUGCAGCGACGCCGCGUGAGUGAGGAAGUCUCUCGGUAUGUAAAGCCCUUUCUGCAGGGAAGAAAAUGACGGUACCUGACUACGAAGAACCGGCUACCUACGUGCCAGCAGCCGCGGUAAUACGUAGGGGGCAAGCGUUAUCCGGAUUUACUGGGGGUAAAGGGAUCGUAGACGGUUUAUCAAGUCAGAAGUGAAAACCCAGGGCUCAACCUUGGGACUGCUUUUGAAACUGAGUAGCUAGAGUGCAGGAGAGGUAAGCGGAAUUCCUGGUGUAGCGGUGAAAUGCGUAGAUAUUAGGAGGAACACCGGUGGCGAAGGCGGCUUACUGGACUGUAACUGACGUUGAGGCUCGAAAGCGUGGGGAGCAAACAGGAUUAGAUACCCUUGUAGUC